CCCUUCUCUCAUUGAGCAAAGAGACACUUAGUUGGUGGUGGUUCUCUUAUAUCAGUCAGAGGCAGAACAGAUGGCAGUCCUUUGUUCAUCCUAGCUUGAUGCCUGGCUUGGUGGCCAUUGCUGUUUUAUGCCUAGAACACAUAA
Small nucleolar RNA from Acomys russatus (golden spiny mouse), 144 nucleotides. RefSeq annotates it as small nucleolar RNA SNORA48. The record is from RefSeq and is a predicted model, not a curated record. NCBI's taxonomy places the organism in Eukaryota, Metazoa, Chordata, Mammalia, Rodentia, Muridae. The transcript has a single exon.